UUUGAGACAGGGUCUCCCUCUGUGGCCCAGGCUGGCGUCCAGUGGCAUGACCAUGUCCCAUCGCAGCCUUGACCUGCCAGGCUCAAGCAAUCCUCCCAUUUCAGCCUCCCGAUGCUGAGAUUAUAGGCCUGAGCCACCAUGCCUGGCUGCAGAUCCUUCAUAGGUUUCUUAAUCUUAAGAACAAAAAGCUCACCUGGAAAGCAAGAACACAUCAAUUUGGCAGUAUCUGGUCACUAAAAGAACUGUAUCUCUGGAGGCAAGCAUGGGCUCUAAUAAACCCCACAAAGUAUUGCCGUCUAAUUCCCAAAUAUUCCUGACUGUCUCUUUCCACAGAGCUAAGGAGGGUUCAAUUCAAAGAACAUUAAAGUCCCUUUGGCUUGCAUAGCAGACGAGAAACCAGACUCUUCUUGCCAAGCAUGCCUCAGGCCCACAAAUACCCAUGGAAAUAGGUAUAUAUUUCUGAGUAAAAAGCCACCAUCCAUGUCAGAAAAGAUUUGAAUCUACCUCAGCUGUCUUUCUUCUCUUAGAUCUGUCUGCCUCAUACUUUGUGGAUGACUACUUUGGAAAAGUGAAACUCAGGUAAGACACUAAGCUCUCUAAGCCUCAAUUUUCUCACAGGUAAAAUGGGGAUAGUGUAUUUACCUCAGAGAGUCAUUGUGAGACAACACAUGUAAAGCACUGAGCCUAGUAUAUAGAACACAUUUAAUGAGCAGAAACUAGUUGCUGAGUGCUUCUACGUAGACAGAAGUAGAGAAACGAGCAGAUUCAUGAGAGGAGAAAAAAGAAACAAAUAUAUAGUGCAUGUGGACAGGAACUACACAGAGGAUUUCUAAAAGCUGCCUCCAAGACCAAUUCAGGUCCUAGAGGGAAAAAUGUACAACAUUGAGUUCUGAGAAGGCUGGGCAGAUACAUCACAGACAAUGCAUGGUUUGGAGGCAUGAAACUAAACAAAUGCCUUCCCAAUACUCUACAUCCACAGGGAUACAAAUGCAGUGUCAUCUGUGGGCAGUCUUCCUGUUAACUUGACACAAGAUCAGCCCUCCAUCUGCAGGUGUCAAAGCUCCCUUAAUAAUUAGUUCCUGAGUCAAAUAUAAUACUGACAAAAACAUUGUAGAUCUUUCAUCUUUUGGGGGAAUUUUUAGUCAUAAAUUUAGGAUUCCACUGUUUCUUUAAAGCAAAGCCACUAGUAGCUGAGGGUGAUGGUGUGUGCCUGUAGUCCCAGCUGCUCAGGGGGCAGAGGCAGGAGGAUUGCUUAAGCCCAGAA
RNAcentral lists this long non-coding RNA (1264 nucleotides) under Homo sapiens (human). RNAcentral describes it as "HSALNT0053129". The record is from RNAcentral. Lineage: Eukaryota; Metazoa; Chordata; Mammalia; Primates; Hominidae.